UCCAACCCAAACCCUUCCGUGAACCCUCUGCAGACACGGCACCCUGUGUCAAGGAGGUUCACUGUUAGUCAGGUGGUAUUUGAGCAAUAACUUCCUCUUUCCUUCCUUACUUGACCUUUCCUAACUUACUCCACCAUCCUCUGGUUUCCCACUGGAAAAGUUUCUGUAGGAGAUCUCGGUUCUGUGUUAAAUGUGUGCUGGUGCCCUUGUAGUGGAGGACAACAGUGGGGCACCUAAGCAGAGGGUUUUCCUGCAGUGGUUGUGGCUGCUCAGAUUAAAAAGCAGACAAGUUUUUGUCUUUCUCUUUUCUCUAGGAGAUAAUGACUUCUUAACCUCUCUUCCUCUCUCUGACACCCCCUCUACUCCACAGUGUUAUCAACACAAUGCUGGUGACAUGUGCUGUUUGCUGCUACCUGUUAAAUAAUGUCCCACUCUUCUAAAAUCUUUGAAGCUUAGGGUUUGUUGUCUGUAUUGUUUGAAGAAGAACAGUUUCCUUGAAGUAGAGGCCACGUGGCAUCUGCAGCAUCCUCUGGAUUAUGAUGUGGAAUGUAUUUGUUGUAGAAUUUCUCAACUUUUGGCUGAAUGCUGUGAACUUCUCAAAUGUACAGUGAUAUUUCCCUUGUAACUUUAGUGGGUUUUGUACCUAAACAGACCCAUUACAAAUCAUUAUCAUGUUUUAUAAUCUGUUCUUGCAUGUCCAGUGAGGGGGUUCAUUGGUAAUUUUGUAGGUUCCUACUUGUUUUCUAAAUCCCUUUGGCUUUCUCCAGUUAUAUCUUGGAAAAAGAGAAGCAGCCAAAAAUUAGGAUGUUUUAAGACUUCAGUAGUUGUACCCAACCACAUAAAUGACAUUUGUAGUGUCUGCUUGCCAGAAUGCAACAAAAAGCCAAUUUUUCUUCUCAUGUUCCAGGAUAGAACUUGCCUCAUCACGCAGUCUUUAUUUUUUUUUAAUUUAUUCCAUAUAAAACUGUAGAACAGCCCUUGUUGGAAAGGACCUUGAAAGAUCAUCUGGUCCAACCUUUCUUUCCUCAAACAUAUGGAAGUUUGUUGUUCUUGUGUCCUCUUCCUUUUGGGGGAGAGGAGGCAUUGAAAACAUUUCAGACCUUAAUUUUUGGUGACUAAAGAAAGACACUGAUUUUUCAUAUCAGUCUUGAAGGAAGCCCAAAGAAUGGUUUCUGAGGAUUCUUUGUUAGAUAAUUCUUGUUGUCCCAGGUAUGGUCUUCUGUAUUUGUGUGUCCUUAGCAGGUGGCUGGUGCUAUUAUCUACUUCUUUGUAGAGUUUAGAACUCUGCUGGAUCUACUUUCAUGCUCUUUGAUUUAUCUUUGCCGUUGAAAAUAGGAAAAAAACAAUUUCCUGUCUUCAUUAAACACCACUUGAUUGUCAAAUUGAUUUUCAACAAACAGAAUUUGUCCUAACAAAAUUUCAAG
This 1424-nucleotide long non-coding RNA is filed under the name Manacus vitellinus (golden-collared manakin). RNAcentral's name for it is "lncRNA (ENSMVIG00005017415.1)". The record is from RNAcentral. Lineage: Eukaryota; Metazoa; Chordata; Aves; Passeriformes; Pipridae.